Molecule: ribosomal RNA, 1002 nt
Filed under: Triticum aestivum (bread wheat)
Lineage: Eukaryota; Viridiplantae; Streptophyta; Magnoliopsida; Poales; Poaceae
Description: partial small subunit ribosomal RNA
Source: RNAcentral
AUGAUGCAACAAAUCUGGUCCAUUGAUCAAGCACAAGCUCUAGCCUUAAAGGCCGAGAGGUUUGUGAGGAUGAGAAAGACAACUAAGGCUCCAUAUCCUCCAUAUCCUCAUACCGAAGGCUCAUCUAGGAGCCAACCUAAUAGAGUGGAAGAAAAGACCACUCCACCAAAGACAAAACAGCCUAUCCCGAAGCAAACUAGAGGCAAGGGUAAGGCAAAUGAAGGCCCAAAGUGCUAUAAAUGUGGUAAAGAGGGACACAUAUCCAGCGGUUGCCCACUAAGGAAAUUUGUUAACACGACUAUCCAUGAUGGUGAAAGCGAUGAGGAAGAAUACGAAUCUAAAGAUGUAGACGGACAAGAGGUUUGUCAAGAAGAAGGUGAAGAGGUGGUAUGUGUGAUCCAGCGUGUCCUAUGUUCCACACCACAACUGGAUGACACACAACGGAAGAAAAUAUUUGAGAGCAAAUGCACGGUGAAUGGCAAGGUAUGCAAACUAGUGAUUGAUAGUUGCAGCUGCGAGAAUCUUAUCUCCCAGAAGUUGGUGGACCAUUUAAAGCUUGAAACCCAUGAUCAUCCAAAUCCCUACACUAUUGGAUGGAUCAAGAAAGGAGUGAAUAUGAGGAUCACCAAACAAUGCAACCUGCCACUUUCUUUGGGUAAGCAUUAUCGCUCAAAUGUGUUGUGUGAUGUGGUUGACAUGGAUGCCAGCCAUGUUCUUCUUGGGAGGCCUUGGCAAUUUGAUGUGGAUACUACACACAAGGGCAAGGAAAAUUCUUACUCUUUCAUUUGGAACAAGAGAAGGAUCAUUAUCUUACCAAACAAAACCGAAGGUAAUACCUCUAAGGAGGAGGGGAAAACUAUGUUAACUAUCUCCCAUACCUCUCAUGAGUUUAUGGAAGACUUGAAGGAGGCAGAUUUGUGUGCUGCACUUGUUGUAAAGGGAGAAGAGCACCUGACUAUUGAAAUUCCAGCAAAGGUACAUGGUUUAUUGGCAGAAUUUUAG